GAUGUUUAUUUCACUAGUGGAAAUAUUAUACUUUGUUAGUUAAUUCACGAAUUAUUCAUAAAUUAUUGAAAAUCCGAAUUAAACGGUCCGUUUAUGAAUUUUUUUUCCCAAAAAAAAAAUAUUCGCGAAUUUUUGGGCCAGCCAAAUAAUCGCGAAUUAUUCAUAAAUUAUUCCUGAAUUAUUAAAAAUCUGAAUAAAAAAUUUAUAAUUUUUAUGUUUAAAUAUAGAUUAUCUUAUAUUUUAUAUUUUAUAUUUUAUAUUUUAUACCGAAUCUAUUUUUUAAGCCAGAUUUUUCAAUAAAUUUAAAAAUUAGAAAAUAAAUUUUAUGCGUAUUAUAACCGUACCGAAUUUUUGCUGAAUCCGAAUUAACUAACUAUGAUAUUACGCAAU
RNAcentral lists this long non-coding RNA (390 nucleotides) under Ananas comosus (pineapple). RNAcentral's name for it is "long non-coding RNA (ACOM_LNC033760)". The record is from RNAcentral. Lineage: Eukaryota; Viridiplantae; Streptophyta; Magnoliopsida; Poales; Bromeliaceae.